GACGAACGCUGGCGGCGUGCUUAACACAUGCAAGUCGAACGGUAAGGCCCUGCUUUUGUUGGGUGCUCGGGUGGCGAACGGAUGGGUAACACGAGAGUAACGUACCCUUCACUUUGGGAUAACUUAACGACACUGGGGCUAAUACAGGACAGGAGCUCCUGCUGCUUGGUGGGGGUUGGAAUGGUGGGGCGGUUGGGGAUGGACUCGCGGCUCUUCAGCUUGUUGGUGGGGUAGUGGCGGUCCAAGGCUUUGAAGGGUAGCCGGCCUGAGAGGGUGAUCGGCCACAGUGGGACUGAGAUACGGCCCAGGCUGCGGCGGGAGGCAGCAGUGGGGAGUAUGGCAGAAUGGGCGGAAGCGUGAGGCAGCAACGCCGCGUGCGGGAUGAAGGCCUUUGGGUUGGAAACCGCGUCCGCCUGUGACGAAGCGUGAGUGACGGGAAGGGGUAAAGAAGAACCGGCUAACUACGGU
Molecule: ribosomal RNA, 468 nt
Filed under: uncultured bacterium
Lineage: Bacteria
Description: partial 16S ribosomal RNA
Rfam family: Bacterial small subunit ribosomal RNA
Source: RNAcentral